GCAGCAGGAACUGGCCGUCGAGCAGCAGCAGGAACUGGCCGUCGAGCCCCAGCAGCAGAAGGAACUGGCCGUCGAGCCCCAGCAGCAGAAGGAACUGGCGUCGAGCCCCAGCAGCAGAAGGAACUGGCCGUCGAGCCCCAGCAAGUGAGGUAUCCAGCUCAAAUGGCCCAGCAGCAACCCAACCCCAUUCCUCAUCAAUUUUGCAUGCAGCCCAAAUUUCCCAGCAGCAACUGGCCCCAAAUUCUCAGCAGAAGCACUACGAAAGCACUGAAGAUGGUGCCUCUGGUAAUUCUCAGGCCAGAGUUGUUGAACAGUCGGGUGUCAUCCCAAUCUCUUCCUACAGUUUCAAAUCGCACUACAAGAAUGGCAGAACUGGAGUCUCCCAAAUCAGCUACACUCUAGGGAGGCAAUGCCUGUUGACAGUGGAAAUGCUCCCAAGGACGGUUAUGUUAGCAUUGGUGCACCAAGCAUAUAUCCAACACUAGUGAAGGAUUCUGCAAGGGAAAUAUAAUGGAUUCAUCCUCUAGAAGCUCUAAUGACCAGGAAGUUGCUGGUGCUCUUGCUACUCUAGUGUGAUGGAAUCAAUAAACAAUUUGACUUUAAAAAA
Oncorhynchus nerka (sockeye salmon) is the source of this 607-nucleotide long non-coding RNA. RefSeq lists it as uncharacterized. The transcript has 3 exons. NCBI's taxonomy places the organism in Eukaryota, Metazoa, Chordata, Actinopteri, Salmoniformes, Salmonidae. The record is from RefSeq and is a predicted model, not a curated record.